UACAGAGGUCUCAAGCGUUGUUCGGAUUCAUUGGGCGUAAAGGGUGCGUAGGCGGCGCGGUAAGUCGGGUGUGAAAUCUCGGAGCUUAACUCCGAAACUGCAUUCGAUACUGCCGUGCUUGAGGACUGGAGAGGAGACUGGAAUUUACGGUGUAGCGGUGAAAUGCGUAGAUAUUGGGAGGAACACCAGUGGCGAAGGCGGCGACCUGGGCCAAUACUGACGCUGAGGUGCGAAAGCGUGGGGAGCAAACAGG
RNAcentral lists this ribosomal RNA (253 nucleotides) under uncultured bacterium. Its description in RNAcentral is "partial 16S ribosomal RNA". It matches the Rfam family "Bacterial small subunit ribosomal RNA", at positions 524 to 776 of the family's 1533-position model. The record is from RNAcentral.